This 259-nucleotide ribosomal RNA is filed under the name uncultured prokaryote. Its description in RNAcentral is "partial 16S ribosomal RNA". It matches the Rfam family "Bacterial small subunit ribosomal RNA", at positions 524 to 782 of the family's 1533-position model. The record is from RNAcentral.
UACGGAGGAUGCAAGCGUUAUCCGGAAUUAUUGGGUUUAAAGGGUGCGUAGGCGGCCAUUUAAGUCAGCGGUGAAAUUUUGCAGCUUAACUGUAACAGUGCCGUUGAUACUGUUUGGCUAGGAUUUGGUUGUAGUGUGCGGAAUGUGUGGUGUAGCGGUGAAAUGCUUAGAUAUCACACAGAACACCGAUUGCGAAGGCAGCACACUAAGUCAUUAUUGACGCUGAGGCACGAAAGUGUGGGGAUCAAACAGGAUUAGA